Molecule: ribosomal RNA, 253 nt
Filed under: uncultured bacterium
Lineage: Bacteria
Description: partial 16S ribosomal RNA
Rfam family: Bacterial small subunit ribosomal RNA
Source: RNAcentral
UACGAAGGGGGCUAGCGUUGCUCGGAAUCACUGGGCGUAAAGGGGGCGUAGGCGGGUCUUUAAGUCAGGGGUGAAAUCCUGGAGCUCAACUCCAGAACUGCCUUUGAUACUGAAGAUCUUGAGUUCGGGAGAGGUGAGUGGAACUGCGAGUGUAGAGGUGAAAUUCGUAGAUAUUCGCAAGAACACCAGUGGCGAAGGCGGCUCACUGGCCCGAUACUGACGCUGAGGCACGAAAGCGUGGGGAGCAAACCGG